UCAAGGAAGAAAGGGCGUACGGAGAAUGCCUGGGCACAGAGAGGCGAUGAAGGACGCAGCGAACAGCGAAAUGCGGCGGCGAGCGGUAAGCACGCAAUGACCCGCCGAUAUCCGAAUGGGGAAACCCCUCCGCUUUCGAAGCGGAGACCGCAUGACGACCGUCAUGACGGGGCAAUACGCAGGGAACUGAAACAUCUAAGUACCUGCAGGAAGAGAAAGAGAAGUCGAUUCCGUAAGUAGCGGCGAGCGAAAGCGGAGGAGCCCAAACCGGACAUAGUCCGGGGUUGUAGGACCGCCGAGAAAGAUGACAUGAAGAGUCAGGAGAAUCCCAUGGGAAGGGGAUCCGCAGAGGGUGAGAGACCCGUAUCCGAAGGCUCGACAUGGAUCGAGGCGGCACCUGAGUACGGCGGGGCACGUGGAAUCCUGCCGGAAUCAUCGGGGACCAUCCCGAAAGGCUAAACACUACUCUGUGACCGAUAGCGAACCAGUACCGUGAGGGAAAGGUGAAAAGAACCCCGGGAGGGGAGUGAAAGAGAACCUGAAACCGUAUGUCUACAAGCAGUCGGAGCGAAAGCGACGGCGUGCCUAUUGAAGAAUGAACCAACGAGUUACGUGCACUAGCGAGGUUAAGUGGAAGACACGGAGCCGAAGCGAAAGCGAGUCUUAAGAGGGCGGAUAGUUAGUGUACGUAGACCCGAAACCGCAGUGAUCUACCCAUGUCCAGGUUGAAGCGCAGGUAAAAUUGCGUGGAGGACCGAACCUGUGAGCGUUGAAAAGCUUUAGGAUGAGAUGUGGGUAGAGGUGAAAUUCCAAUCGAACGCGGAGAUAGCUGGUUCUCCCCGAAAUAGCUUUAGGGCUAGCCUCAAGUAGUAAGUAUAGGCGGUAGAGCACUGAUCGGGCUAGGGGCCAUAAAGGUUACCGAACCCUGUCAAACUCCGAAUGGUUAUACUGUAGAGCUUGGGAGUCAGACUACGAGUGAUAAGAUCCGUGGUCAAAAGGGAAACAGCCCAGACCACCAGCUAAGGUCCCCAAUGUCGUACUAAGUGGAAAAGGAUGUGGGGUCUCUAAAACAACCAGGAUGUUGGCUUAGAAGCAGCCACCAUUUAAAGAGUGCGUAAUAGCUCACUGGUCGAGAGACCCUGCGCCGAAGAUUACCGGGGCUAAAGUACGAAACCGAAGCUGUGGCUACGACAUAUGUCGUGGGGUAGGGGAGCGUUCUGUGAGGGCUGAAGUCGUUCUGUAAGGAACGGUGGACUUCACAGAAGUGAGAAUGUUGGUAUGAGUAGCGAAAAGAAUGGUGAGAAUCCAUUCCACCGAAAGCAUAAGGAUUCCUGGGCAACGAUCGUCGUCCCAGGGUAAGUCGGGACCUAAUCCGAGGCAUGGAGCGUAGGAGAUGGACAACUGGCAGAUAUUCCAGUACCGGUAAUGAUUGUUUGAGCGAUGGAGUGACACAGGAGGGCAGGCAGGCAGGAGAUUGGUUGUUCCUGUACAAGCGUGUAGGGUGGAACGUAGGCAAAUCCGCGUUCUGAGAGCCUGAGGCGUGAUGUGGAGGUUCCGGAAACGGAACUGAAGCUGCUGACCCCACACUGUCGAGAAAAGCUUCUAGUUAGAGAAUUACCGCCCGUACCGUAAACCGACACAGGUAUGCGGGGAGAGAAUCCUAAGGUGCGCGGGAGAACCCUCGUUAAGGAACUCGGCAAAAUGUACCCGUAACUUCGGGAUAAGGGUAGCCGCUGUUGUGAAGUCUGAACAGACGGAGCAUGAGGCGGUCGCAGAGAAGAGGCCCAAGCGACUGUUUACCACAAACACAGGUGCCUGCUAAAGAGAAAUCUGACGUAUAGGUGCUGACACCUGCCCAGUGCCGGAAGGUUAAGGAAGGAUGUCCGGAGCAAUCCAAAGCAUUCGACCGAAGCCCCGGUGAACGGCGGCCGUAACUAUAACGGUCCUAAGGUAGCGAAAUUCCUUGUCGGGUAAG
RNAcentral lists this ribosomal RNA (1975 nucleotides) under human gut metagenome. Its description in RNAcentral is "bacterial LSU rRNA". It matches the Rfam family "Bacterial large subunit ribosomal RNA", at positions 3 to 1980 of the family's 2925-position model. The record is from RNAcentral.